Non-coding RNA from Phalacrocorax carbo (great cormorant), 1468 nucleotides. The record is from RefSeq and is a predicted model, not a curated record. NCBI's taxonomy places the organism in Eukaryota, Metazoa, Chordata, Aves, Suliformes, Phalacrocoracidae.
GCAAACAGCAAUUCUUUAUGCAAUUUACAGACACUGGUUUAGCUUUUAGCAUAAAUCCUGAACUGUAAUUUAUGGAAGAAAAUAGUUUCCUUUAACUUUUGCUCAGCUGUUCACCAUUGGCAAGUACACAGAGCAACCUGAAGCUCUCUUCAUGUCUCAGAUAGGUUUUCAUGCAGAAGUUUUAGACCCAGUAGCACAGGAGUACAUUUCAUUUGGGGUGCUCGUACAACAGUAGACAGCAGCAAUUGUGGUGAAGUUCUAGUGUGCAAAUCCUGAACAGAUAUGAAUGCUCUUUUAUCAGCAACUCUUAUGAGGACAUGGAAGCUGCAGAGACUAAAGUCAUGAAAAGCAUCAGACAGAAGUUGACAAAGGUGGAUCCAGCACCAAAAUGCAAAAAAAGAACAGUAAGAAAGACUGGCAACACCACGAGGCAGAUUUUGUUAUAGUUUACAGAAACUAGAAGAGUGGAGGCACCAGGAGGAGGAGGCAGCAAAGAAGUCACAAUUAAGAGAAAGCAGUGCAAGAACCUAUUUGGCAGCAGCAGGAGGAUUAUCCCAGAAAGCUUCUGCAGUUCCAGAAGAGACACCUAGAGGAACGAGAAGGAGCAGGUGGUCUAUAGAAAGGCUAAUGCUCACUUCAGCUGCAGAUAAUGCAUCUGAAUGGAUGAUUACUGGUAAAGACAUAGACUUAGCCUGUUCGUCUGACAUGGAAUUUCUGUGACACUAAGUCCCAAACCUGCAGUAUCUCAGCUGCUUCCGCUCUCUUAAAUAGAUAAGGUAACAAUAGUCCUCUCUUCCACAGUCCCUGCAGCCUGAAGAGAAACUCCACAGCCUAGCUACAAUGCAACUGUGCAAGAUAUUAGCAAUAAUAAUGCAUGCUACAGCUGUUCAUUUCUUGAUGUUUUCAUUAUGUAUUUUCUCUGAAAGCCCAAGUCCCAGUAGCUAUACAGUUUAAAAGAGAUUCUACUUCUAACAAAGCAGCAGAGGAAGGCUUGAAAACCUAAAUACCAAGCAGAUUUUAAAAAAAAUGCAAUUUAAGACAAACUCAUGUGUUUGAGAAAAUACUAAAUACUUGUAAUAUCAGUAUUAUAACAGUAUUUUCUUUCUGUUAUCGAUAAAAACCCUUGCUAAAUAGGAAGUAUGUAAGCAACUAAUAGUUGUUGGUAAUCUGUUUCUAAGAGGCAGAAAAAAAGACAGAAAGAAGGAGAAAUGUGGUUAGAGAAGGAACACCAGGAGCUGGUGGAGAUAACAGAACAACACCUGGAGUAUGAAAGAAGAAAUGGAGAAGACAAGAUAUGCGGCUGAGGAACCGAUGAAGAAAGAGGAAUAUGCUCAACUAGCUCUGGAGGAAACCAGAACACAAGCACAGCUUUUAAUCAGGUAUGUAGCUAUUAAAAAGUGAAAUUAUAUUUUUCCUCAGUAAUAACAACACAUCUUUACACCUAGUGCCAAAACUAUACAAAAAUACU